AGUGAACGCUGGCGGUAGGCCUAACACAUGCAAGUCGAACGGCAGCACAGGAGAGCUUGCUCUCUGGGUGGCGAGUGGCGGACGGGUGAGGAAUACAUCGGAAUCUACUCUGUCGUGGGGGAUAACGUAGGGAAACUUACGCUAAUACCGCAUACGACCUACGGGUGAGAGCAGGGGACCUUCGGGCCUUGCGCGAUUGAAUGAGCCGAUGUCGGAUUAGCUAGUUGGCGGGGUAAAGGCCCACCAAGGCGACGAUCCGUAGCUGGUCUGAGAGGAUGAUCAGCCACACUGGAACUGAGACACGGUCCAGACUCCUACGGGAGGCAGCAGUGGGGAAUAUUGGACAAUGGGCGCAAGCCUGAUCCAGCCAUACCGCGUGGGUGAAGAAGGCCUUCGGGUUGUAAAGCCCUUUUGUUGGGAAAGAAAUCCAGCUGGCUAAUACCCGGUUGGGAUGACGGUACCCAAAGAAUAAGCACCGGCUAACUUCGUGCCAGCCGCCGCAAUAC
RNAcentral lists this ribosomal RNA (506 nucleotides) under uncultured bacterium. Its description in RNAcentral is "partial 16S ribosomal RNA". It matches the Rfam family "Bacterial small subunit ribosomal RNA", at positions 29 to 526 of the family's 1533-position model. The record is from RNAcentral.